This is a non-coding RNA of Gasterosteus aculeatus aculeatus (three-spined stickleback), 457 nucleotides long. Lineage: Eukaryota; Metazoa; Chordata; Actinopteri; Perciformes; Gasterosteidae. The record is from RefSeq and is a predicted model, not a curated record.
CCAGGAGACCGGUGGAGGGCUCAGAAGCACAAUGGAGUCUCCACACGAAUCACCUUUGAACUCAUAUCUCAGAUUCAUGGACCACUGAAUGUCCUUUUUGGUUCCUGUUAGCAGGUCCAUUGAGAGACCUGAAACCAGCUGUGUGUCCAGGACAAGCGAUAGCUGCUGGAGGAGAACAUCAUGACUUUUUGUGAAAAACGAGCUGAAGAGGGUCAAGAGGGUUGUGAGUCCGGAUUACCCAGAAUUCUUAAAAAGUCAGAGGGAGGACAAGGAGGUGCUCAUGGUGAGGACGAAGACCAGAGGAGGAGCAGCAGGGAAGCUUUCGUGAAGAUCACGCUGGACUUCCUGAGGAGAAUGAAGCAGGAGGAGCUGCCUGACUGUUUGCAGACCAGAAGUCAUCCUGAAAGUUGUCAGCGUGAACUCAAAUCCAACCUGCAGAAGAAGUUCCAGUGUGUGU